Molecule: ribosomal RNA, 501 nt
Filed under: uncultured bacterium
Lineage: Bacteria
Description: partial 16S ribosomal RNA
Rfam family: Bacterial small subunit ribosomal RNA
Source: RNAcentral
AUUGAACGCUGGCGGCAGGCUUAACACAUGCAAGUCGAGCGGGGGAAGGUAGCUUGCUACUGGACCUAGCGGCGGACGGGUGAGUAAUGCUUAGGAAUCUGCCUAUUAGUGGGGGACAACAUCUCGAAAGGGAUGCUAAUACCGCAUACGUCCUACGGGAGAAAGCAGGGGAUCUUCGGACCUUGCGCUAAUAGAUGAGCCUAGGUCGGAUUAGCUAGUUGGUGGGGUAAAGGCCUACCAAGGCGACGAUCUGUAGCGGGUCUGAGAGGAUGGUCCGCCAAACUGGGGCUGAGACACGGCCCAGACUCCUACGGGAGGCAGCAGUGGGGAAUAUUGGACAAUGGGGGGAACCCUGAUCCAGCCAUGCCGCGUGUGUGAAGAAGGCCUUAUGGUUGUAAAGCACUUUAAGCGAGGAGGAGGCUACUCUAGUUAAUACCUAGGGAUAGUGGACGUUACUCGCAGAAUAAGCACCGGCUAACUCUGUGCCAGCCGCCGCGGUAA